RNAcentral lists this ribosomal RNA (229 nucleotides) under uncultured bacterium. Its description in RNAcentral is "partial 16S ribosomal RNA". It matches the Rfam family "Bacterial small subunit ribosomal RNA", at positions 102 to 334 of the family's 1533-position model. The record is from RNAcentral.
ACGGGUGAGUAAUGUCUGGGAAACUGCCUGAUGGAGGGGGAUAACUACUGGAAACGGUAGCUAAUACCGCAUAACGUCGCAAGACCAAAGAGGGGGACCUUCGGGCCUCUUGCCAUCGGAUGUGCCCAGAUGGGAUUAGCUAGUAGGUGGGGUAAAGGCUCACCUAGGCGACGAUCCCUAGCUGGUCUGAGAGGAUGACCAGCCACACUGGAACUGAGACACGGUCCAG